GAUGAAGAACGUAGCAAAAUGCGAUAAGUAAUGUGAAUUGCAGAAUUCAGUGAAUCAUCGAAUCUUUGAACGCACAUUGCGCCCGCCAGUAUUCUGGCGGGCAUGCCUGUUCGAGCGUCAUUUCAACCCUCAAGCUCAGCUUGGUGUUGGGACUCGCGGUAACCCGCGUUCCCCAAAUCGAUUGGCGGUCACGUCGAGCUUCCAUAGCGUAGUAAUCAUACACCUCGUUACUGGUAAUCGUCGCGGCCACGCCGUAAAACCCCAACUUCUGAAUGUUGACCUCGGAUCAGGUAGGAAUACCCGCUGAACUUAAGCAUAUCAAUAGCGGAGGA
This 332-nucleotide unclassified non-coding RNA is filed under the name soil metagenome. RNAcentral's name for it is "partial contains 5.8S ribosomal RNA, internal transcribed spacer 2, and large subunit ribosomal RNA". The stretch from base 1 to 120 matches the Rfam family "5.8S ribosomal RNA", at positions 35 to 154 of the family's 154-position model. The record is from RNAcentral.